This 570-nucleotide unclassified non-coding RNA is filed under the name Lamarckia aurea. RNAcentral's name for it is "partial external transcribed spacer". Lineage: Eukaryota; Viridiplantae; Streptophyta; Magnoliopsida; Poales; Poaceae. The record is from RNAcentral.
AGCUGUUUUGGACCUGUGUCUGCCGGUAGAUCCCCCGUCUUCGUACGGCUGACUAUCGGCGCCGUGUCCUGUCAUUCGUGUGGCUUACGCUGCUGUCGCCUUUCAAGUGCUUGCGUGUUCUUACCCGUCCUACGGGAAGUGGCGAUUCGUACAUUGUUCCCUCGCGGUGGUCACCUUAGGGUGUGCCGCUGCGGCCUAAUGGCACUUGCGGCGUUUCCUCGUUUGUGUUGGCAUGCUUGCAUGCCCGUGCUAUCAAGGCAACCUUGCUUGUGCCGUUUGUCUUGGAUGUUGCUCACGAUAAAGGCUCAUGGCCCUUUUGGUUGCCUCGACCUGACCCUUAUGUUGCUCUCCGAAUUUGAGAACACCCGGAACAGGUGUUGCCUCUACCUCUCCGCAGUUAGUGGUAGGAUACGCAACAUUCUGCGCCGAUCCUCAAUCAAGUAGGAUGAGUUUCGCUCGAUUCUCGACAACCGGCUCGGCCGCCGCCUCAGCCUGGCCCAACACGUGGACGGGCGGGCAAAGACCGAUGCUGGACGUCAAUGAGGACGUGCUACCUGGUUGAUCCUGCCA